GCCUGGGUGGCUCAGUCGGUUGAGCGUCCGACUUUGGCUCAGGUCACGAUCUCACGGUCCGUGAGUUCGAGCCCCGCGUCAGGCU
Non-coding RNA from Felis catus (domestic cat), 85 nucleotides. NCBI's taxonomy places the organism in Eukaryota, Metazoa, Chordata, Mammalia, Carnivora, Felidae. The record is from Rfam.